RNAcentral lists this ribosomal RNA (194 nucleotides) under Vibrio parahaemolyticus. RNAcentral's name for it is "partial 16S ribosomal RNA". It matches the Rfam family "Bacterial small subunit ribosomal RNA", at positions 1 to 178 of the family's 1533-position model. Lineage: Bacteria; Pseudomonadati; Pseudomonadota; Gammaproteobacteria; Vibrionales; Vibrionaceae. The record is from RNAcentral.
AAAUUGAAGAGUUUGAUCAUGGCUCAGAUUGAACGCUGGCGGCAGGCCUAACACAUGCAAGUCGAGCGGAAACGAGUUAWCWGAACCUUCGGGGGACGAUAACGGCGUCGAGCGGCGGACGGGUGAGUAAUGCCUAGGAAAUUGCCCUGAUGUGGGGGAUAACCAUUGGAAACGAUGGCUAAUACCGCAUGAUG